AGCGAACGCUGGCGGCGUACCUAACACAUGCAAGUCGAACGGGGAUCACAGGGUUAGCAAUAACUCUGUGGUUCUAGUGGCGCACGGGUGAGUAACACGUGGGUAACCUGCCCUUGAGAC
Molecule: ribosomal RNA, 120 nt
Filed under: uncultured bacterium
Lineage: Bacteria
Description: partial 16S ribosomal RNA
Rfam family: Bacterial small subunit ribosomal RNA
Source: RNAcentral